Molecule: ribosomal RNA, 427 nt
Filed under: uncultured Halomonas sp.
Lineage: Bacteria; Pseudomonadati; Pseudomonadota; Gammaproteobacteria; Oceanospirillales; Halomonadaceae
Description: bacterial SSU rRNA
Rfam family: Bacterial small subunit ribosomal RNA
Source: RNAcentral
UGGGGAAUAUUGGACAAUGGGCGAAAGCCUGAUCCAGCCAUGCCGCGUGUGUGAAGAAGGCCCUCGGGUUGUAAAGCACUUUCAGCGAGGAAGAACGCCUAGGGGUUAAUACCCCCUAGGAAAGACAUCACCCGCAGAAGAAGCACCGGCUAACUCCGUGCCAGCAGCCGCGGUAAUACGGAGGGUGCAAGCGUUAAUCGGAAUUACUGGGCGUAAAGCGCGCGUAGGUGGCUUGAUAAGCCGGUUGUGAAAGCCCCGGGCUCAACCUGGGAACGGCAUCCGGAACUGUCAAGCUAGAGUGCAGGAGAGGAAGGUAGAAUUCCCGGUGUAGCGGUGAAAUGCGUAGAGAUCGGGAGGAAUACCAGUGGCGAAGGCGGCCUUCUGGACUGACACUGACACUGAGGUGCGAAAGCGUGGGUAGCAAACA